This 823-nucleotide ribosomal RNA is filed under the name Didymella glomerata. RNAcentral describes it as "eukaryotic LSU rRNA". It matches the Rfam family "Eukaryotic large subunit ribosomal RNA", at positions 77 to 919 of the family's 3401-position model. The record is from RNAcentral. Lineage: Eukaryota; Fungi; Ascomycota; Dothideomycetes; Pleosporales; Didymellaceae.
GCCCUAGUAACGGCGAGUGAAGCGGCAACAGCUCAAAUUUGAAAUCUGGCGUCUUUGGCGUCCGAGUUGUAAUUUGCAGAGGGCGCUUUGGCAUUGGCAGCGGUCCAAGUUCCUUGGAACAGGACGUCACAGAGGGUGAGAAUCCCGUACGUGGUCGCUAGCCUUUACCGUGUAAAGCCCCUUCCACGAGUCGAGUUGUUUGGGAAUGCAGCUCUAAAUGGGAGGUAAAUUUCUUCUAAAGCUAAAUACUGGCCAGAGACCGAUAGCGCACAAGUAGAGUGAUCGAAAGAUGAAAAGCACUUUGGAAAGAGAGUUAAAAAGCACGUGAAAUUGUUGAAAGGGAAGCGCUUGCAGCCAGACUUGCCUGUAGUUGCUCAUCCGGGUUUUUACCCGGUGCACUCUUCUACGGGCAGGCCAGCAUCAGUUUGGGCGGUUGGAUAAAGGUCUCUGUCAUGUACCUCCUCUCGGGGAGAACUUAUAGGGGAGACGACAUGCAACCAGCCCGGACUGAGGUCCGCGCAUCUGCUAGGAUGCUGGCGUAAUGGCUGUAAGCGGCCCGUCUUGAAACACGGACCAAGGAGUCUAACAUCUAUGCGAGUGUUUGGGUGUCAAGCCCGAGCGCGUAAUGAAAGUGAACGGAGGUGGGAACCUUUCGGGGUGCACCAUCGACCGAUCCUGAUGUCUUCGGAUGGAUUUGAGUAAGAGCAUAGCUGUUGGGACCCGAAAGAUGGUGAACUAUGCUUGAAUAGGGUGAAGCCAGAGGAAACUCUGGUGGAGGCUCGCAGCGGUUCUGACGUGCAAUUCGAUCGUCAAUUUGGGCAUA